RNAcentral lists this ribosomal RNA (468 nucleotides) under uncultured bacterium. RNAcentral describes it as "partial 16S ribosomal RNA". It matches the Rfam family "Bacterial small subunit ribosomal RNA", at positions 28 to 507 of the family's 1533-position model. The record is from RNAcentral.
GACGAACGCUGGCGGCGUGCUUAACACAUGCAAGUCGAACGGAAAGGCCCUGCUUUUGUGGGGUGCUCGAGUGGCGAACGGGUGAGUAACACGUGAGUAACCUGCCCUUGACUUUGGGAUAACUUCAGGAAACUGGGGCUAAUACCGGAUAGGAGCUCCUGCUGCAUGGUGGGGGUUGGACAGUUUCGGCGGUUGGGGAUGGACUCGCGGCUUAUCGGCUUGUUGGUGGGGUAGUGGCUUACCCAGGCUUUGACGGGUAGCCGGCCUGAGAGGGUGACCGGCCACAAUGGGACUGAGGGACGGCGCAGACUCCUACGGGAGGCAGCAGUGGGGAGUAUUGCACAGUGGGCGGAAGCCUGAUGCAGCAGCGCCGCGCGCGGGAUGACGGCCUUCGGGUUAUAAACCGCUUUCGCCUGUGACGAAGCGUGAGUGACGGUAAUGGGUAAAGAAGCACCGGCUAACUACGUG